Non-coding RNA from Ictidomys tridecemlineatus (thirteen-lined ground squirrel), 477 nucleotides. The record is from RefSeq and is a predicted model, not a curated record. NCBI's taxonomy places the organism in Eukaryota, Metazoa, Chordata, Mammalia, Rodentia, Sciuridae.
AACAAUAUAAACAAGAGAUUGCAUUAGUCAGGAUCAUGUAUUUCUCUGGAGAACCCUUGCUAAUGUGUAUCCAUAUAGGAGGAGACAUGUUCUAGAACUGGUUCACAGAAGUUCUGAGGCCAAGAUAUCCCACAACCUCCUAUCUGCAGGCUGGGAACCAAGCAAGUCAGCAGUAUGAUUCAGUCUGAGUCCAGAAGCCUGAGAUCGAAUGUUGGAAAUGCGGGAUCUGUGCUGUCCUGUGUGGUACCCACUAGCCACAGGUGGAAGCAAGCAAGUAAAUGUGACCAGUGCAACUAAAGGAAUGAUUAUUUUUAUUUUUAAUUUUAUUUAAGUAAAAAUAUAUAUAGCCACAUGUGGCUAAUGUCUAUCAAAUUUUUGGUUUAGCUUUCAAAUGUAAAUGUUGUCUUUGUGUGUGCUUUUAUGUAAAUGCACUUUACCUUUACACAAUAAAACUUUGUAAUCUUCGGAUACACAGGA